Molecule: ribosomal RNA, 4299 nt
Filed under: Triticum aestivum (bread wheat)
Lineage: Eukaryota; Viridiplantae; Streptophyta; Magnoliopsida; Poales; Poaceae
Description: partial small subunit ribosomal RNA
Source: RNAcentral
AUGGAGGAGCUGUUGGGGAAGCUGCGGCACUUGGCGCACUGCGCCGAGGACUUACUGGACGAACUAGACUACUUCCGCAUCCACGACGAGCUCCAUGGCACAUACGAGGCGGCCGACCACCAUGCCAAGGGCGGUGUCCACGACCUUGUCCUCAAUAGUCGUCACACCGUCAAGGCCGUUGGCAAACUGGCAUUUGUAUCCUCACGCUGCUGCUGGUCUGCUACCAGCCCUGCAGGUGAUCAAGUAGAGGAUGCAAGACAACAGGUUAGCUGUUCCGCUUGGCCGCGUGCUAGGAAGAGAUCACACGGCAAUUCCUCCUCAGCGUCAAAUGCCAAUCAGGAGAUCAGCGGAUGCAUGCCCAAGCUCGGUAAACUCCUGCCUUGCUCAUCUUCCCCAGAUGUUCCUGAUGAUAAUCCUGUCCAGUCAACUAUUUUUGGUGCGCCACUGAGAGAGCAUGCGGAAGAGACACCAAUGCAGGAGUUUAACAGGGCUGUUAUCUCAGAGAGAAUGAAGUGCAUUGUAGAGCAACUACAGCCCUUGCGUACAGAGUUCACCACUAUUCUGCAGAGUUGUGGCCAUAACACUGUUCCAGGCAUUACCCAUGGUCGUCCCCUCACCACUGCUCGAAGUAUAGAGCCAAAAUUGUAUGGGAGGGAUCAGAUCGUGAAAAACAUCAUACAUGAUAUAACCAAGGGUAAAUGUCAGAACAAGGAUCUAACUGUGCUUCCGAUUGUCGGUCCGGGUGGGAUAGGGAAAACAGCUCUGAUACAACACAUAUAUCAUCAUAAAGAUGUCCGAAAUCAUUUUCAAGUACUGAUCUGGGUAUGUGUAUCCCUCAGUUUCAAUGUAAGUAAGCUGCUUGAAGAUAUUAAAAAUGAUAUCCCUGAGGUUAAAGAGGAAAAAGGGGGUAAACCGGAUGAGUUGAUUGAACAAAGAUUGAAAUCUAAAAGGUUUUUGCUUGUAUUGGAUGAUAUAUGGGGGAUUAGUACUGAGGAUGAUUGGGAAAAGUUAUUGCUGCCACUCAAAACAUCAGAAGAAAAGGGCAACAUGAUUCUACUCACAACCCGGUUUCCAGCAGUAGCAAAGAUGGUUGGAACAAUUGACCAUUCAAUAAAUUUGGAAGGUUUGGAACCUAACUAUUUUAGGGAGUUAUUCCAUGCAAUUGUCUUUGGUGAUGACCAAUGUAGACAAGAUCACAUUUUUUUGCUUGAGACCGGUGAAAAGAUAAUGGUAAAACUAAAGGGAUCCCCGCUUGCAGCAAAAACUGUUGGUAGAUUACUGAGAAAAGGCCUUAAUUUACGUCAUUGGAGAAAGGUAUUAGAAAGUAAAGAGUGGGAGAGACAGACUGGUGAAAAUGACAUUAUGACUGCCUUGAAGCUUAGCUAUGACUAUCUUCCUUUUGAACAACAACAAUGUUUCUCAUAUUCUGCAUUGUUUCCCGAAGAUUACGGAUAUAGUGCCACCGAGCUAAUCGACUUGUGGAUAGGACUUGGUAUUUUGCAACCUGAUGGUCAGAACCCAACAUUGGAAACUAAAGGUUUGAAUAAUUUAAAUGAUUUGGUCACACAUGGAUUUUUCAGAGAAGACAUUUUUUGUGGUCGUCUGCGUUAUGUAAUGCAUGACCUACUACAUGAUUUAGCAUUGAAGGUUGCAUCAAAUGAAUGUCUUACUAUGCAUCAUUCAACUGUGGGGCCUGUAGAAAUUCAUCCAAGCAUACACCACUUGUCUAUAAUCGUAGAUGGUAAUGAUACAGUGUCUCAUGAAAACUUCAAGAGUCAACUGAGAAAACUGAAGACAAGAUUGAAGGUUAAACAAUUGCAUACUUUGAUGUUAUUUGGAGUUAUGGAUGAAAUCAUGGCCAACAUUUUGGGUGAUUUGUUUAGGGAAGCAAGUGCUCUUCGUGUUCUCUGCUUGGUUAAUAUGUCGCCUUCUGUGGAGUCCAUGUUACAUAAAUUUCCAACACUUAUCCACCUACGAUACCUACGUCUGGGAAAAAGGUACGGGACAGAGAGGCAUUUACCACUUGCCAUUUCUAGAUUUUAUCAUUUGAGGAUUCUGGAUCUAAGAUGGCAGUAUGACUGUCGUGAUUUGCUCAAAGACUUGAGCAACCUUGCAAAAUUGUGUCGUUUUUAUACCCCAACAGAUGAGUUACAUUCUGAUAUUUUUAAUGUGGGAAAACUUAAACUCUUAGAAGAGUUGAAGAAAUUUAGAGUCAAUAAAGAAAGUGAAGGAUUUGAACCAGAGCAACUAGAACAUUUGACCGAACUAAGGGAGCUUGGCAUCUAUAACCUUGAGAAUAUACACACGAAAGAAGAAGCAGCCAAAGCAAAAGUGAUAGAGAAAAACUACUUGGAGAGGUUAACAUUGGAUUGGGAUAGUAACCGGUCUAAUAGUGAGCCUGAUGUGGAAGCAAUGGUUCUUGAGAGCCUUCAACCACAUAAAUAUCUUAAAGAAUUGUGCAUUAGAGGGCACAGAGGCCCUUUUUGUCCAACAUGGUUGGGUGAUGAGCCUGAUGUUGAACUUCUACAAUCUCUUCAUCUCGAUGAUGUUUCAUGGGAAAAUCUUCCUUCUUUCGGGAAGAUGUUGGAUCUUCAUACAUUAAUAUUGAAACAUAUUGCCGCAAUGAAGGAGUUUGUCAUAGAGCGAAGCUUUUCUAGGCUGAUAAGGCUUGAACUUGUUGGCUUGGAAAGUUUUGGAGAAUGGGUACUAUCACAGGAUUCUCAUCAUAUGUUUCCUCUUUUGCAAGAACUGAUUAUAAGGGACUGUCCUAAUCUUUUGGAGCUGCCAUUUUCAAACCACAUUGCUUACCCACCAGAUCAAGACUGGAACAGUGAUUCGUUUGCCAAAUUGCAAGUGCUUGAGAUUCAAAACUGUCCAGAAUUCUUGUUAGUGCAUCGUAUCCCGUGGACUGAAACUUUACAUAGUGUCUUUAUAAUGGAUGUAAAGCUACUACAAGACCUAGAAUAUACAAAGUACGACUCAAAAUCAUCCAAAUUGGUGGUUACUGGGAAGGAUGAACUGCGCAGCUUAGAUCAGGUGUUAGCAUUCAAUAACCUGACAGGGCUCGAGUGUCUGGAACUUGACAAGUGCCCACCUCUAGAGUUGAAGCACAUUGUGAUGUUAAACUCAGUGAAGUAUUUGGAUGUAGUAUCAGGUGAUCUGGUUGGGCUAUUAGGUCGUCAGAAUGAUUUUGAAUGGCAGCUCCCUGUUGAGCAUCUUGUGGUCAAGGACUUACGUGGUGCUAGUGGGAAGCAAUUGACAGAGCUCCUCUGCCACCUCCCAAGGCUCUCCGAAUUGUAUAUCAAAGAGUGUAAAAAUAUAACAAAACUUACAGUGGGGGUGGAUCUGCAACAAACAAUAUCAGCAGCAAAAUCAGAGGUUGAGCAGGAGAAAGAAGAUGAUGGGCUGGUGCUCUUCCCGGCCAAUCUCUCUAACUCACUACAGCUGUUGGCCAUCGGGGGAUGCCCAGAACUGGUCCUGGUGGACCCUUCAAGUUUUAUUCCUGAAAGAGGAGGAGAGUUCCCAGGCCUGCGAUCCCUCGAGAUGUUAGAAAUUAUUCACAACCCCAAGAUACUAUCUGGCGUCUCGUUUUCCUGCUGCUUUUCCCCGUCCUCUCUGCAAGAGCUCCGUCUCGAACAUGUGGAAGACAUGGGGACGCUGGAGCCCCUCUCAGACCUCACAUCUCUCACCCGAUUACAAUUGUCGGAUUGCGGAAAGGAUCUAAGAUGCAAGGGCUUGAGGCCUCUCCUUACCGCCGGGGGACAGCUCACAUCAUUAGAGGUCCGCGGCAGCCCUAGAUUCUUUGCUGGAUGGGAUCCUAAUCAUCCUAGUCAGGUGAUGCAGGACGGAGGAAAAGAGCAGGAGCUGCAGCAACUACAGCUAGUUUCCCCUCCGAGUUCAUCCAAACUGCAGUUUCUCCAUACAGAUGAGGCCAUGGGGCUCCUUGUUGUGCCCAUCUGCAGCUUCCUGUCCUCCUCCCUCACCCACUUGCACCUUGAUGGGAUCUCCCAAGAGAUGGAACGCUUCACCAAGGAGCAAGAGGACGCUCUCCACCUCCUAACCUUCCUCCAGCACCUCCAGUUUUAUGGAUUCAUCAAGCUUCAGAGCCUCCCUUCAGUACUGCACAAGCUUACCAACCUCAAGCUAUUAAGGGUUGUGGUAUGUCCGGCCAUCCGGUCAUUGCCCGAGGAUGGCCUCCCCAAAUCACUCCAAGAAUUAGAUGUAUACGCGUGCCGCAACGAGAAUCUAAAACAGCAGUGCAGGGGGUUAGGGGGAACCAUCCCAAAAAUCAAGCUGUAA